AAAACACUUAGAAAAGUGGAAAUCAAGCACUACCUUUAAAUAAAUUUUGUAGCGUUAAUAAAGAGAAGGACAAACGAAGACAAUUAUGAUUAGAACCGGACUUUUUUUGUUGCUUACCAUUGCUUUAUUUGUAAUGGUUGUUGAUAGCGGUUCCCCGAGGCCUAUUAGAAUCCCAAAUAUGUCCCCAGGAACAACGCCGGGGAGGGAUACAAGUAAUGACUGUGGUAAAUAUAGUGAUGGAGCGAUUGUUGCCAUAUCAGUAGAUCCCUGUAUGCGAAAAAAGUGCGAUAGGGGCCAGGUGAUUGAAAUAGGCUGCUGACUUUUUAACUUCCACCUGACUCUGAAUGUAGAAGAGAAAAAGGAAAAGGACCACACCCAAUAUGCUGCGUCUGUUUGUCCGGGUGAUCCAGGAUUUUAAGGAUCAAAUUCUAUUCUGCAAUACCUAAUAUAACAUAAUGGAAUAUUUCCAACAAUCUCCUUUUGGUGUAAAAAAGUUUCUUAAUGUUAAAUAAAUUUUGAAAUUGCACAGGAAUAUUUAUCUACAUAGAACUUAUUAAGCUCAAAUUGUUAAGAACAAAUAAUUUUUUUUCCUGUAAUGGAACAAAAAUGUUUUUAACCCACCUUUAGACACCCAAAACAUAUUUAUGUGUUUAAUUUGAACUCUUAAAUGUGUAUAAAUAAAAUAAAUUUUAUGGUGUA
Molecule: long non-coding RNA, 699 nt
Organism: Parasteatoda tepidariorum (common house spider)
Lineage: Eukaryota; Metazoa; Arthropoda; Arachnida; Araneae; Theridiidae
Source: RefSeq, a predicted model, not a curated record